This 2393-nucleotide long non-coding RNA is filed under the name Homo sapiens (human). Its description in RNAcentral is "HSALNT0293530". The record is from RNAcentral. Lineage: Eukaryota; Metazoa; Chordata; Mammalia; Primates; Hominidae.
CAACGAUCCAUUAUACUGGAAGUUAAGAUUGCCACCUGGACACUUUGGGCUUCUCCUCCCUUUAAGUCAACAGGCUAAGAAUGGAAUUACAGUGUUGGCUGGGGUGAUUGACCCGGACUAUCAAGAUGAAAUUAGUCUACUACUCCACAAUGGAGUGCUGCUGUUCAGAAGUCUGAGCUGGAUGUGUAGUUGGUCAUCGUCAGCAUACAGAGGAUAACUGAAGCCACGUGUGGGAGGGAAGAUCACCAACUGGGACACAGAUGCUGAAAAGAAGGCAGCCAAGAAUGAACUCUGAGAAAAGCCAACAUUUAAGGAGUGGAUACGAGAAGAGGCAUUGUGAGCUAGACUGAAAAGGAAUGGCCAGAGUUUUGCAAAUGUAAUCAGAAGUGCAUCAUGAAAACCAACAAAGGGAGCAGUUUCAACAAAUAGGGAUGAUCAGCAACAACCUAAAAUAUUACAGAGAGAUCUAGCAAUACAAGUAUUUCAAAUUGUUCUUCAGAUGUAACAAUAUAUCCAAGUUACUGCACUUUCUUUAACCUUCUAAGAAAGAUGGCAUGUCGCAAGUUUCUUCGCACCGUGAUCUCGCUGACUUCAGGAGUGAACCUGCAGACCUUCGCAGUGAGUGUUACAGCUCUUACAUGCAACGCAUCUGCAGUUGCUCGUCCCUCCCAGCGGGUUCCUCGCUGGCCACAAGAGUGAAGCUACAAACUUUCGUGGUGAGUGUUACAGCUCAUAAAAGCUGUGCAAACCCAAAGAGCACGCACCAGCAAAAUUCAGCACAAAGAGGAAAAGAACAACACUUACACACCACAAAAAGGAACCCCAACCUGUUGCAGCCGCUGGCUCCGGCAGCCUGCUUUUAUUCCCUUAUUUGACCCCACCCACAUCCUACUGAUUGGUCCAUUUUACAGAGAGCUGAUUGGUCCAUUUUACAGAGAGCUGAUUGGUCUGUUUUGACAGGGUGCUGAUUGGUGUGUUUACAAACCUUGAGCUAGACACAGGGUGCUGAUUGGUGCAUUUACAAUCCUCCAGCUAGACAUAAAUGUUCUCCAAGACCCCACCCAACUCAGGAACCCAGCUGGCUUCCCUAGGGGAUCCAGGCGCUGGGGCCCUGGGUGGAGCUGCUUGCCCGUCCUGUGCUGCGCCUGCACAGGUUAGCCCUUCAGCGGUUGAUGGGACCGGGGGCUGUGGAGCAGGGGGCGGUGCCUGUCAGGGAGUCUCAGGCUGCAUGAGAGCCCACAGGGUGGGGGGCUCAGGCAUCGUGAGCUGCAGGUCCCCAGCCCUGCCCCAUGGGGAGGUGGCUCAGGCCCGGUGAGAAUUCAAGUGUGGGGCAGAUGGGCAGGCAGUGCUGGGCGACCUGGCGCACCCUCAGCAGCUGCUGGCCCAGGUGCUAAGCCCCUCACUGCCCGGGCCUGUGGCGCUGGCCCACCGCUCCAAGUGCGGCCCACCGAGCCCACGCCACCCAGAACUGGCGCUGGCCUGCAAAUGCUGGGCGCAUCCCUGGUUCCCGGGCGCAUCCCCGGUUCCCGUGCCUCUCCUUCCACACCUCCCCGCAAGCCGUGGGAGCUCCCGUCCUCGACCAGCCCAGAGAGGGGCUCCCACAGUGCAGCGCGGGCUGAAGGGCUCAAGUAUAGCCAGAGCGGACGCCGAGGCCGAGGAGGCAUUGAGAGCAAAGGAGGGCUGCUAACACGUUGUCACCUCUCAUCUUCUAAUUAGACCAAAGAACAAAAACAUUUGCCUAGAGUAAAUAAUUAGAUUUCCCCCAUUGAUUCCCCAUAAUCAAAAACCAAAAUAAACCUAAGAGAAAGUGUUGCUUCUAUGUCCUUGAAAAGUUGUGAAAAGGAACCAUAGUGCUUUAAUUGCAUGUUUAAGAAUCUAUUACAUUUUCCUUUUAAUGUUAUGAGAUGGAAGUUGUUUGAUGAGUCUCUGGUUCUUUGGGGAAAAUUGUGGUUCCAACCUAGAUUUUUGUAAUUCUAAACUCUAUAAUUAAGGCAAAGACUCAGUUAACAGAAUUUUACAGUUAAAGAAUGAUCAGGGAGCAAAAUUUUGGUCCCUGUAUAGUUUCCUAGGGUGGCUAUAACAAAAUGCCACAAACAUGGCAGAAUUUUAUUGUGUCAUAGUUCUGGAAAAUAGGAGUCCAAGAUUAAGGUGUUGGCAGGUUGAUUCCUUCCGAGUUUUUGAGGGCUGUGAGACAGAAUUCGUUCCAUUCCUUUUCCCCCCGAGCUUUUGCUAGUUUGCUGCAAUCUUUGGCAUUCUUUGGUUUCUAGACACAUCACCUGAUCCCUUGCCUUCAUGUGUAUGUGGUGGUGUCUCUAUUUGAGGGUCUAUGUCUAAAUUUCACCAUUUUGUAAGUACACUAGUUAUACUGAAAUAGGAGCUUCACCAGUAUAAUC